AACGGGUGAAAGACCCGUGAUGGUAAAAGCCGGAGCCAUGUAGCUUUGAUGGCAGGUGGUGAUGGAAACGUAACCAUGUGAAGCCCAUCGACAAAGUUCGCUGAAGGCGUGUGAGCAAAUAUCCGGGUUGUAACAA
This 136-nucleotide non-coding RNA is filed under the name marine sediment metagenome. RNAcentral also lists the same sequence under 1 other name. The record is from RNAcentral.